UCCAGGGGCGGUGUCUUUAUUUUGGGGGGUGGGGUAGAGGAGUGGGGCGCGGAGGAUUUUGAUAAUCUUUUACUUGUCUCAUUACCUGGAGGGCACUUGAUAUGGGACAGGUUUUUCUCCUGAGUUCAGAAUCCUAAAGCCUUACCCGAACGAAAACGCAGACCUCGGAGGUCUUGGCUCGGCAAGUUUUCAUGGAGCAGCUACCUUUUAUGAAACCCGGCUUAUAUGUUUGUCUCCAUAAUGGUGGAGCCAGAGAAAACUGAGGGAAGAGAUGGAAAUAAAUCACCGUGUGGUGCAGUGGGUGCCCACGCAGACGAGGAGAACAAACGGGCUAAACUGAAAAGAAACACUCUAGUUUUUGUAGUUUGGUGAUGAAGUGGGAGUUCUGUCUGAGAUGCAGUGACGCUGGUGGCUUUGUCAGAAGGCCGUGAUCUGUGGGGCUUGUUGGAGAACGACUUUUACCUAGUCGUCGGGCCUGGCCCUUGCUGGAAAAGGUUCAGGGGCAAGGUGUGAGUUCACGGCCCUCUGGCCCAGCGGGCGCAGCGAGUGUCAUGUGGGAGGUGCCUGACCACGGCGCUCUCCCUGCUCCAGGGCCUCAGCCGAUCCCGUGCGCACUGCGGAAUGCGCAUGAGGGCAGCGGGGAGGUGCGCCCCUGCCCGAGUGGGCCCUGUGCCUCCAAGCCCCACCCCUCCUCGCCUGGGCCCCGCCCCUUAUUGCCCAGGCCCCACCCCUCCUCUCCCGGGCCGCGCCCCCUGCCCACCUGCCUGGAGCCCACUGUGAACCAGACCCCAGCCCCUCUGGCCAGCAGCGUCCGGGGCUGCGCAGGGAAUCGGCUCUUCCACCCUGGCGAGGGAGCCCCGCGGCUUAGGACCGGCUGACGGAGAAAGUGGACCCCGAGAUUAUUUUAAGGAGACCCGUGGCCCCUGGUGCCAUGGACCUGUGGUGACAGCCACGGCUUGGACGGGCAGGCCUUUUCUCUGACAGGCUGUGGCGGUGCGGUGGGUUCUGUGCGAGUGUGAGCUGUCAGCUCAAGAGCUUCUGUUUACCUCACCCUGCUCCGCGUUUCAGCCACGAAGCUGCUCGUGGCUCUGGUCCGUGUGAACUCAGUGUGGACAAGCAGCUGCCGAGCGGCUCCACCAGAUCGAGAUCUUCACACAGCUGUAAGGGCGGCACAAGUACUGCACGGAGCUGAACAGGAGGGGGAGGUUCUGCCCCCGGCCCUGGGCGUCAGGGGUGCUGGCCCCGGCUGCUGCUUCUGGGCAAUGGACACGAGCGAGGAGGGGCACCCGGAGCGUUGAGGCUGCAGGGGGUGGUGGUCUCCACGAGAGUGGCCCCAGCCCCGGUGGGUGUGGCAGUUUCAGUGUGUGCAGCCUCCAGCCCCAGGUGCAGGUUCUCAGAACCCGGCCAGGCCUGGGACCACAGACUCGGCAGGGACAUCAGCUCGGACAUCAGGAUUGUCUGAGUGGAGGAAAUAGGCAGCUGGCUGCAGACGGACCCAGUGUGUUUCUGAACGACAGCCACUUGAAGGUGGUCCGAGGCUGCACGAUAAGGC
Choloepus didactylus (southern two-toed sloth) is the source of this 1552-nucleotide long non-coding RNA. RefSeq lists it as uncharacterized. Lineage: Eukaryota; Metazoa; Chordata; Mammalia; Pilosa; Megalonychidae. The record is from RefSeq and is a predicted model, not a curated record. The transcript has 7 exons.